GACCUGAGCAGAGGGCAGAUGCUCAACCAACUGAGCCACCCAGGUGCCCCAAGUUACCUUUAUUUCUAAUUCAUUUUGUUUCCCACAACAGACACAGUAGAAAUCUUUGGCAAUGGCUGCAGUUGAUGUUUGUCAGCUACCUACCCAAACACACACUCACAGAUAGUGUGUGUAGGAUGCCUAGCAAAGACAAGAAGAGCUAGAGCAAAAAUAAUGAAAAUAGCUUACUGAAGCAUGUAGUACUCAAGUCUGGUAUUUCAUUUUACCCUCCUGACUGGCUAGUGAGUUAGUUAGUCUGUUACUGUUUUGUGGAUGCUAACAAAAGACAGAAUUCCUGGAUGAGAGACAAAGGACUAUUAUGACACAGGAAGCGACAUGAGCUUCAGCAGCAGACUAGGAUGAAAGAGUCUCCUGUUGGCUCUGAAGAAGAAAGCUGCCUAUGGAGAAGGCCCACAGCAGGGAGCUGCAGGAGCCUCUAGAAGCUGAGAUUUGCCCCCAGCUGACAACAAGAAAAUAGGACCCUCAGUCCAGUGCCUGCAAGAAAUUCUGCCAAUGACCACAUAAGCUUGGAAGGGGAUCCUGGGCUCCUUUAAGAACACAGCCCAGCCAAUACCUUGGUUGUAGGCUUGUGAGACUACAGAGGACCCAGCUAAGCUGGGUCCAGACUCCUGGCCCACAAAAACUAUGAAGUAAUAAAUGUGUGGUGUGUUGUUUUAA
Molecule: long non-coding RNA, 717 nt
Organism: Canis lupus familiaris (dog)
Lineage: Eukaryota; Metazoa; Chordata; Mammalia; Carnivora; Canidae
Exons: 2
Source: RefSeq, a predicted model, not a curated record